RNAcentral lists this ribosomal RNA (522 nucleotides) under uncultured bacterium. RNAcentral describes it as "bacterial SSU rRNA". It matches the Rfam family "Bacterial small subunit ribosomal RNA", at positions 25 to 518 of the family's 1533-position model. The record is from RNAcentral.
CAGGACGAACGCUGGCGGCGUGCCUAAUACAUGCAAGUCGAACGGUCUUUCUAUGGAAGCUUGCUUCCACUGAGGAGAUAGUGGCGAACGGGUGAGUAACACGUGGGUAACCUGCCCAUAAGAGGGGGGAUAACAUCCGGAAACGGGUGCUAAUACCGCAUAGUUUUCUUGAUCGCAUGAUCGGGAAAGGAAAGACGGCCUUUGUGCUGUCGCUUAUGGAUGGACCCGCGGCGUAUUAGUUAGUUGGUGAGGUAACGGCUCACCAAGACGAUGAUACGUAGCCGACCUGAGAGGGUGAUCGGCCACAUUGGGACUGAGACACGGCCCAAACUCCUACGGGAGGCAGCAGUAGGGAAUCUUCCGCAAUGGACGAAAGUCUGACGGAGCAACGCCGCGUGAGUGAAGAAAAGGUUUUCGGAUCGUAAAACUCUGUUGUCAGAGAAGAACAAGUUGGAGAGUAACUGCUCCAGCCUUGACGGUAUCUGACCAGAAAGCCACGGCUAACUACGUGCCAGCCGCCGC